This 414-nucleotide RNase P RNA is filed under the name Galbitalea soli. Its description in RNAcentral is "Bacterial RNase P class A". It matches the Rfam family "Bacterial RNase P class A". From Rfam's summary of the family: Ribonuclease P (RNase P) is a ubiquitous endoribonuclease, found in archaea, bacteria and eukarya as well as chloroplasts and mitochondria. The record is from Rfam by way of RNAcentral. Lineage: Bacteria; Bacillati; Actinomycetota; Actinomycetes; Micrococcales; Microbacteriaceae.
CGGGUCGAUGAGACGGUCGCGUUGGCCGGCGCAUCCCCUGGGGACAUGGCCGGUCACCGAGGAACGUCCGGGCUCCACAGAGCAGGACGGUGGGUAACACCCACCCGGAGCAAUCCGCGAGAAAGUGCAACAGAGAGCAGACCGCCACCGGCGGGAUCAUCCUCGGAUGACCGUGCCGGCGGUAAGGGUGAAACGGUGGUGUAAGAGACCACCAGGGGCCCGAGUGAUCGGGCUCGCUGGGUAAACCUCGUCCGGAGCAAGGUCAGACAGGGAACGCCACGGGCUGCUCGCCCAGUUCCCGGGUAGACCGCUAGAGGUGUGCGGUAACGCACAUCGUAGAGAGAUGGCCGUCGAUGGCGGAGGGGGGAGACCCCCGAUGCCGGGACAGAACCCGGCGUACGGUCGGCCCGUUUG